GCGCCGGCGCCGCCGCCCCGGUUGCGGCCCCGGCGCCUUCAGCUCAGCAUCAUCAGCAUCAUCAGCAGCAUCAUCAGCAUCAUCAUCAGCAGCAGCAGCAGCAGCGGCACCUUCACCAGCGGUCACUGGUCAAGCGAGCGGCUUCGGAGGCCGCGUCCGGGGCCGCGGCCGCCGUGCGGAGGAAAGGGCGACCCCGCAAGGAGGGGAGGGGCGGGGGGGGUACAGGGGCGGGGGGGCUGCACGGGGGAGCCGGGAUGACGCGCACGGUGAGCCCAGUACUGGACAGGGACGCCGGGCGUCCCGGUGGUGCCGCUACCUCCGUGGGGGGGGUCCCUCACCUAGCGGCACUGCCAACACGGAAGUCGUUCAGCGUGCAGAUCUGUGGGGACCCGUUGACCCAGCUGGACGUAGACAACGAUGUCUCCCUGUCUCUGUGUGUCUCUGUGUGUCUCACUCUGUGUCUCUGUGUCUCUGUGUGUCUCACUCUGUGUGUCUCACUCUGUGUCUCUGUGUCUCUCUGUGUGUCUCAGAUCUGUGGGGACCCGUUGACCCAGCUGGACGUGGACAACGAUGUCUCCGUGUCUCCGCGUCUCCACCUGCUGCGCUGUCUCUGUGUCUCUGUGUGUCUCACUCUGUGUCUCUGUGUCUCUGUGUCUCUGUGUGUCUCUGUGUGUCUCACUCUGUGUCUCUGU
Molecule: non-coding RNA, 692 nt
Organism: Petromyzon marinus (sea lamprey)
Lineage: Eukaryota; Metazoa; Chordata; Hyperoartia; Petromyzontiformes; Petromyzontidae
Source: RefSeq, a predicted model, not a curated record